Long non-coding RNA from Ochotona curzoniae (black-lipped pika), 688 nucleotides. RefSeq lists it as uncharacterized. The transcript is spliced from 3 exons. NCBI's taxonomy places the organism in Eukaryota, Metazoa, Chordata, Mammalia, Lagomorpha, Ochotonidae. The record is from RefSeq and is a predicted model, not a curated record.
GAGUGCGUGCUGGCGAUAGCUGUCAGCAGAGGCAGGUCGUUGGAUUCAAUCCUGCAGAGGGGAGACAGAGCACUUUAGUGUGACUGGUACCAGGCCUGCCUUAGAUGACGGUUCAAAACGAAUUAAAAAUUAAGGUCGCUGGCAUUGUGGUCAACUUACUGCCGAGGAGGCAAAGGGACACAGACCAGGGGGUGUACGGCCCACCCGAGUGGGCAGGGACCACCUGACUGCAGCCCUAACUUUUCUGAGUUCCUGGCUAGUACAAUUUCAAUUGACUUGUAUUUCAGCUCUCCAUCUGCUUAGGCUGCAACGUUCCUGAGUGCUGACUUUGCAUCUGGGUGGGGUUUCUUCAAUACCUUGAGGAUCUGACCAACGGGUGACCCAGCUUAGAUCCCUGUGAGUUAGCCUCCUGGAAGUCCAGAAGCGCCUAAUGGCAGCUCCCCCAGGAAGUACACGCCAGCGUAGGCUGCACUGCGUGUGUCACAGCUGUUCAGUGUCUCUGGCAGAAAUGGAAUCACCCAGGAAAAAGACAAGAUCUCCGAUUAUUUGGUUCCAACAUAUUCCUACAAGUAGAAUGAUUGAAGCAAGGUCAUUUUUGGACAUUUUUUUUCCUCAUUAAAGAGUGCAAGUUAACCAGGUCUUCUGUAGCAAUAAAAAAAGGCAUUAUUUUCAGGAUGUCUUUACCCUU